This 63-nucleotide transfer RNA is filed under the name Dermacentor steini. RNAcentral describes it as "tRNA-Tyr". The record is from RNAcentral. Lineage: Eukaryota; Metazoa; Arthropoda; Arachnida; Ixodida; Ixodidae.
GGUAAAAUGGCUGAAUUUUAGGCGUUAAAUUGUAAAUUUAUUUAUGACACUGUUCUUUUACUA